This 157-nucleotide ribosomal RNA is filed under the name Androctonus aeneas. Its description in RNAcentral is "5.8S ribosomal RNA". Lineage: Eukaryota; Metazoa; Arthropoda; Arachnida; Scorpiones; Buthidae. The record is from RNAcentral.
AGGCUGGGAGUCUGUCCGCUCCGGUGCCCUUCCUGGGCUCGGCGUUACACGCAAGCUUNUUAGUCACGAGUUACACAGGACGUUAAGUGUGGUUCAGAGCGUCGACCGACGCAAGAAGUAGCUGGGCACUCGGCUCACUAGGUGGUGAAGCUCAACA